AGCGAACGCUGGCGGCAGGCCUAACACAUGCAAGUCGAACGAACUCUUCGGAGUUAGUGGCGGACGGGUGAGUAACACGUGGGAACGUGCCUUUAGGUUCGGAAUAACUCAGGGAGACUUGUGCUAAUACCGAAUGUGCCCUUCGGGGGAAAGAUUUAUCGCCUUUAGAGCGGCCCGCGUCUGAUUAGCUAGUUGGUGAGGUAAUGGCCCACCAAGGCGACGAUCAGUAGCUGGUCUUAGAGGAUGAUCAGCCACAUUGGGACUGAGACACGGCCCAAACUCCUACGGGAGGCAGCAGUGGGGAAUCUUGCGCAAUGGGCGAAAGCCUGACGCAGCCAUGCCGCGUGAAUGAUGAAGGUCUUAGGAUUGUAAAAUUCUUUCACCGGGGACGAUAAUGACGGUACCCGGAGAAGAAGCCCCGGCUAACUUCGUGCCAGCCGCCGCGGUAA
RNAcentral lists this ribosomal RNA (449 nucleotides) under uncultured bacterium. RNAcentral's name for it is "partial 16S ribosomal RNA". It matches the Rfam family "Bacterial small subunit ribosomal RNA", at positions 29 to 523 of the family's 1533-position model. The record is from RNAcentral.